This 200-nucleotide unclassified non-coding RNA is filed under the name Megasporaceae sp. RNAcentral describes it as "partial internal transcribed spacer 2". The record is from RNAcentral. Lineage: Eukaryota; Fungi; Ascomycota; Lecanoromycetes; Pertusariales; Megasporaceae.
UUAAGUUCAGCGGGUAUCCCUACCUGAUCCGAGGUCAACCGUGAUAGAAUUGGGGUGAUCUGGCAGGUCACAUCUCGCGUGCUCCAGAGCGCGAGUAGUUUACGACGCUCGAGUCCGCGAGGGACCGCCACUGGUUUCCGGGCUCGCCCGGGCAGGCGAGGGCCCAAUACCAAGCGAUGCUUGAGGGUUGAAAUGACGCU